GCAUAUUAGUAGGCGGUGGAAGAUAAUCCAAAAGGGAUUCCUUCAGUAAUGGCGAAUGAACGGGGAAUAGCUCAGCAAAGAAAUCGAGGACUCUGGCCUUGAGUUGUGGACUUGAGAGGUAUCGCCAAUGGUGGCACAGGUGGGGGCCUCUUGGAAAAGGGCACCACAGAGGGUGUGAGUCCUGUUUGCCAUCUGUAGUCCGCCGUGUACGGCAUGCCUCCUCAGAGUCACGUUCCUUGGAAUUGGAGCGCGAAGGUGGUGGUGGCUUUCAUCUCAAGCUAAGUAUGGGUUCGAGACCGAUAGCAAACAAGUACCAUGAGGGAAAAUUGAAAAGAGCUUUGGAAAGAGAGUUAAAAGUGCCCGAACUUGCUGAUAGGGAAGCGAAGGGAGCUGACGUUGCUUGGUAACAUCUUCUACGCAAGACUAGGAUGGGUUCUGAUUGCAAUGUGUGUAGUGUUUCUUGCCGUGCGUGUCGAUGCCAAGCAAUGAGUGGGGAGAGCUCCAGGGAUGUGAUUGUUUCUGUCUCCGGGUAGACGAAGGUGCCUGGUUGCAUCCAUUCGUGGGCUGAAAAAUUGGUGGCUGGUCGCAGCACUCCCUUGCCACUCAAGGCAAUUGGAGUGUAGCCCUGACAUGCAGACGAGGACAAAGUGCUUCUGUUCGACCCGUCUUGA
Molecule: ribosomal RNA, 671 nt
Filed under: Prorocentrum lima
Lineage: Eukaryota; Dinophyceae; Prorocentrales; Prorocentraceae
Description: partial large subunit ribosomal RNA
Rfam family: Eukaryotic large subunit ribosomal RNA
Source: RNAcentral